UGUCUUCGGGCAGUAGGCGGGGGACACCCUGAAUCGGUUGCCAGCCAAUCGCAGGGCACACAGAAACGAACAACCAUUCGCACUCACACUCACACCUAGGGACAAUUUAGAGCGUUCAAUCAGCCUGCCACGCAUGUUUUUGGAAUGUGGGAGGAAACCGGAGCACCCGGAGAAAACCCACUCAGGCCCGGGGAGAACAUGCAAACUCCACACAGGGAGGCCGGAGCUGGAAUCGAACCCGGUACCUCUGCACUGUGAAGCCGACGUGCUAACCACUGGACUACCGGGCCGCCCCGCACGCUUCAUAUUGCAUCUAUUUGACCUAAAUGUAUAUUUUUCAUUGCGUUUUUUUUUUUUUUUUUUUUUUACAAUACUUCUAAAGUGAUUCCAAUUCCGGAUUCCUCCUUUUCUUGGUCAAUAAAGAGGAAUGGCUGUAAUUCUGAUUUUGAGACCCAAUCGCACGUCACACACAGACGAAAAACCGUUGGCGCUCGCACUCACACUUGGUCACAAUUAAAAAUUUUGAGCACAUGAUGUACCAAAUAUUGUUCCUUCCCUCAAAUAUCUUCAGGUCUGUUCCGUAAGCAUAUCAUUGACGAUGAUUUCACAAUCCAGGUUCCCAAGCGGCUCCCUCAGUAACAGUAUAUUUGUGUUUGUAGCAAUUGAUCAAUCCUUCCGAAGACGGAUGCAUACCGGAGUAUUAGUCGAGAUCGGAAAGUGUGAUACGCAUGGAAAAUAAAGUUAGCUUCACUUCGGUGAUACAAAAUAUGGUUUUCUGUUGAACAAGCUGGCCUAAGUAUUGGGCCGCAGCCACUGAUGAUGCCGUGUGAUUCCCAUGUUGAGGGUGUGCUGGAAGACACUGAGGCUUGGGGGGGGGGGGGGAGAGCACACCAAAACUCCAAACGCAAACUUCAUGCAAGUAUUUUGAGAGAAGAAGAAAUUGCCAGAGACUCAACUUUCCGUCUUUUGACCAAACUACUGCAUAUUUCCCCGGGAGGGGGUGUGGUGGGGGGGCUUCCUCGUUGGUUUCUCCUUUUUAUGGGUAGAACCACUCUAUCCUCGUGAGGCAAAAAAGUGCAUCGCCGCACCGCACGUUCAUCUCCACAAGUUUGAAU
Long non-coding RNA from Hippocampus zosterae (dwarf seahorse), 1115 nucleotides. RefSeq lists it as uncharacterized. The transcript is spliced from 3 exons. Lineage: Eukaryota; Metazoa; Chordata; Actinopteri; Syngnathiformes; Syngnathidae. The record is from RefSeq and is a predicted model, not a curated record.